Molecule: ribosomal RNA, 636 nt
Filed under: Anthicomorphus suturalis
Lineage: Eukaryota; Metazoa; Arthropoda; Insecta; Coleoptera; Anthicidae
Description: eukaryotic LSU rRNA
Rfam family: Eukaryotic large subunit ribosomal RNA
Source: RNAcentral
GGAGUCUAGCAUGUGCGCGAGUCAUUGGGACAUAACUAAACCUAAAGGCGUAAUGAAAGUGAAAGUUCGUCUUGCAUGAACUUAGGGAGGAUGGGUAACCGUUUCGGCUGUUGCUCCGCACUCCCGGGGCGUCUCAUUCUCAUUGCGAGAAGAGGCGCACCAAGAGCGUACACGCUGGGACCCGAAAGAUGGUGAACUAUGCCUGGUCAGGACGAAGUCAGGGGAAACCCUGAUGGAGGUCCGUAGCGAUUCUGACGUGCAAAUCGAUCGUCGGAACUGGGUAUAGGGGCGAAAGACUAAUCGAACCAUCUAGUAGCUGGUUCCCUCCGAAGUUUCCCUCAGGAUAGCUGGCGCUCGUCGCCUACGAGUUUCAUCCGGUAAAGCGAAUGAUUAGAGGCAUUGGGGUCGAAACGGCCUCAACCUAUUCUCAAACUUUAAAUGGGUGAGAUCUCCGGCUUGCUCGAAUUCAUGAAGCCGUGAGAAUCGAAUCAGAGUGCCAAGUGGGCCAUUUUUGGUAAGCAGAACUGGCGCUGUGGGAUGAACCAAACGCCGAGUUAAAGCGCCUAAAUCGACGCUUAUGGGAUACCAUGAAAGGCGUUGGUAACUUAAGACAUCAGGACGGUGGCCAUGGAAGUC